UACGGAGGGUGCAAGCGUUGUUCGGAAUUAUUGGGCGUAAAGCGCGUGUAGGCGGACAGCUAAGUCCGGUGUGAAAUCCCUCGGCUCAACUGAGGACGUGCACUGGAUACUGGCAGCCUUGAGUCCUGGAGAGGGUAGCGGAAUUCCCAGUGUAGAGGUGAAAUUCGUAGAUAUUGGGAGGAACACCGGUGGCGAAGGCGGCUACCUGGACAGUGACUGACGCUGAGACGCGAAAGCAUGGGUAGCAAACAGG
RNAcentral lists this ribosomal RNA (253 nucleotides) under uncultured bacterium. Its description in RNAcentral is "partial 16S ribosomal RNA". It matches the Rfam family "Bacterial small subunit ribosomal RNA", at positions 524 to 776 of the family's 1533-position model. The record is from RNAcentral.